UUCCAUUAAAAAAAAAACAAACCCUGAAACCUCUAACAGUUUUCAGGACAAAUACCAGAGUUUGAUGAGCAUCAGCAAGCUUUAAAGGGCAUCUUCCGUGCCCCUGACAAGUGCAGAGAGGAUGCCCAAGGUUGUCCCUGCCUGACAGAUUCCACCGGGAAAGCAAAGUUAGCAGGAAUCUCGGGGCUGGUGGCAGCAAGGAAGGAAUCCAUCCUGUUAUCAAGUACUUACAGAGAGAGACUAUACUCAGUCAGGCAGUCAAAAACACGCCUACUCAGAUAAGGGUAUCCCUGCAAAGAAAUCUCUUGACACUGCUUUGACAUAUUUACGUUCUUCUGCGAUUAUUCAGUUGCAAUAACUUAGAGCUCUUCGUCUGACACUCAAACACGAGCCAGUCCCAGUCCCCAGCCCUACACGGGGAAGGGAAACACAACGAUGCUGGUUAGGGGCUGGUUAGGGUGAGAGCCGCAGCAAGCCGAGAUUCAAAGCCUGUAGAGCUCUGAGUAUACAAUUAAAAUAUUAAUCUAAUGCGAUCUAAUCAAAGAUACCACAUCUAGAUAGAGCAUCCCUGAAGUUACAGUGAGAUUAUGCUACUCUUAAGUCUUGUUAGCCUGGACUUGUUGGAAGAUCUGCUAUCUAGUAGCAAGAUAUAAUCGGUAAAUUAUUUCUUUUAAUUAAUUCAUUGAAGUAAACAGAAAAUACCCUGGGUCCUAUCUGUCUACAUCUCUUUGGAAGAAAGGCAAAAGAGUUCAACGGCAGUUUUAAAUUGGGGAAAGGAUUCCUGCGUGGCAGCAGAGGAGCAGAGACUGCGGUAGCAUCCCUUGGAAAUACACACUACCUUCUUCAAAGCAACAAAAAAACACCGCCUGAAGCCCACCCAAAAGACUGUGGCUUGGAAAACCUCUAUCACAAGCCGAAGAUGAAGUGCCUCCCACGUCCCCAGCGCAGUAAGGAUCUGCUAAGGUCGCCUUUGAUUUGCAUUGAGAGCAGCAGGCAGAAUCACAUUUGAAGGUGAGAAAAGUCAAGGACCAGUUUUGUUGAAAACUAGAGGAUCAGCUCAGGAGGUGCUGUAGGAAGCUCACUGCUUAGGUGAGACUGGGGUGUUGAUGGGGAUAUUAUUUGUCCCUUCAGUGAGAACCUGUGGCUA
Molecule: long non-coding RNA, 1147 nt
Filed under: Cyanistes caeruleus (blue tit)
Lineage: Eukaryota; Metazoa; Chordata; Aves; Passeriformes; Paridae
Description: lncRNA (ENSCCEG00000008498.1)
Source: RNAcentral